AGUGAAUAGAUACCCGGGUAGUCCAUGCUGUAAACGAUGUCAACUAGCCGUUGGGGCCCUUGAGGCUUUAGUGGCGCAGCUAACGCGAUAAGUUGACCGCCUGGGGAGUACGGCCGCAAGGUUAAAACUCAAAUGAAUUGACGGGGGCCCGCACAAGCGGUGGAGUAUGUGGUUUAAAUUCGAUGCAACGCGAAGAACCUUACCUGGCCUUGACAUAUCCGGAACCCUGCAGAGAUGCGGGGGUUGCCUUCGGGAAUCGGAAUACAGGUGCUGCAUGGCUGUCGUCAGCUCGUGUCGUGAGAUGUUGGGUUAAGUCCCGCAACGAGCGCAACCCUUAUCCUUAGUUGCCAGCGCGUAAAGGCGGGAACUCUAGGGAGACUGCCGGUGACAAACCCGGAGGAAGGCGGGGUACGACGUCAAGUCAUCAUGGCCCUUACGGCCAGGGCUACACACGUACUACAAUGGUCGGUACAAACGGGUUGCUAAGCCGCGAGGCCACGCCAAUCUCAAAAACGCCGAUCGUAGUCCAGAUUGGAGUCUGCAACUCGACUCC
RNAcentral lists this ribosomal RNA (553 nucleotides) under uncultured bacterium. RNAcentral's name for it is "bacterial SSU rRNA". It matches the Rfam family "Bacterial small subunit ribosomal RNA", at positions 774 to 1319 of the family's 1533-position model. The record is from RNAcentral.